AGGGUUCGAUUCUGGCGUACAGGACGAACGCUGGCGGCGUGCCUAAUACAUGCAAGUCGAACGGCUUUUCUAUGGAAGCUUGCUUCCACUGAGAAGAUAGUGGCGAACGGGUGAGUAACACGUGGGUAACCUGCCCAUAAGAGGGGGAUAACAUCCGGAAACGGGUGCUAAUACCGCAUAGUUUUCUUGAUCGCAUGAUCGGGAAAGGAAAGACGGCCUUUGUGCUGUCGCUUAUGGAUGGACCCGCGGCGUAUUAGUUAGUUGGUGAGGUAACGGCUCACCAAGACGAUGAUACGUAGCCGACCUGAGAGGGUGAUCGGCCACAUUGGGACUGAGACACGGCCCAAACUCCUACGGGAGGCAGCAGCUAAGAAUCUUCCGCAAUGGGCGAAAGCCUGACGGAGCGACGCCGCCGUGAACGAAGAAGGCCAUGAGGUUGUAAAGUUCUUUUCGGGAGGGGGAACAACCGUGGCAGGGAAUGGCCGCGGGAUGACGUGAAUCCCGGAAUAAGCCCCGGCUAACUACGUGCCAGCAGCUGC
RNAcentral lists this ribosomal RNA (539 nucleotides) under uncultured bacterium. RNAcentral describes it as "bacterial SSU rRNA". It matches the Rfam family "Bacterial small subunit ribosomal RNA", at positions 8 to 518 of the family's 1533-position model. The record is from RNAcentral.